CGACAAGGAGCGGAACCCGAAAAGUCGUCUCAGUUCGGAUUGGAGUCUGCAACUCGACUCCAUGAAGCUGGAUUCGCUAGUAAUCGCGCAUCAGCCAUGGCGCGGUGAAUACGUUCCCGGGCCUUGUACACACCGCCCGUCAAGUCAUGAAAGUGGGCAGCACCCGAAGACGGUGGCCUAACCUUUGUGGGGGGAGCCGUCUAAGGUGAGGCUCGUGAUUGGGACUAAGUCGUAACAAGGUAAC
RNAcentral lists this ribosomal RNA (244 nucleotides) under uncultured bacterium. Its description in RNAcentral is "partial 16S ribosomal RNA". It matches the Rfam family "Bacterial small subunit ribosomal RNA", at positions 1258 to 1500 of the family's 1533-position model. The record is from RNAcentral.